UACGGGGGGGGCAAGUGUUGUUCGGAAUUACUGGGCGUAAAGGGCUCGUAGGCGGCCAACUAAGUCAGACGUGAAAUCCCUCGGCUUAACCGGGGAACUGCGUCUGAUACUGGAUGGCUUGAGUUUGGGAGAGGGAUGCGGAAUUCCAGGUGUAGCGGUGAAAUGCGUAGAUAUCUGGAGGAACACCGGUGGCGAAGGCGGCAUCCUGGACCGACAUUGACGCUGAGGCGCGAAAGCCAGGGGAGCAAACGGG
Molecule: ribosomal RNA, 253 nt
Filed under: uncultured bacterium
Lineage: Bacteria
Description: partial 16S ribosomal RNA
Rfam family: Bacterial small subunit ribosomal RNA
Source: RNAcentral